RNAcentral lists this ribosomal RNA (468 nucleotides) under uncultured bacterium. Its description in RNAcentral is "partial 16S ribosomal RNA". It matches the Rfam family "Bacterial small subunit ribosomal RNA", at positions 28 to 507 of the family's 1533-position model. The record is from RNAcentral.
GACGAACGCUGGCGGCGUGCUUAACACAUGCAAGUCGAACGGAAAGGCCCUGCUUUUGUGGGGUGCUCGAGUGGCGAACGGGUGAGUAACACGUGAGUAACCUGCCCUUUACUUUGGGAUAACUUCAGGAAACUGGGGCUAAUACCGGAUAGUAGCUCCUGCUGCAUGGUGGGGGUUGGAAAGUUUCGGCGGUUGGGGAUGGACUCGCGGCUUAUCAGCUUGUUGGUGGGGUAGUGGCUUACCAAGGCGUUGACGGGUAGCCGGCCUGAGAGGGUGACCGGGCACAUUGGGACUGAGAUACGGCCCAGAGUGCUACGGGAGGCAGAAGUGGGAGAUAUUGCGCAAUGGGCGGAAGCCUGAUGCAGCAACGCCGCGUGCGGGAUGACGGCCGUCGGGUUGUAAACCGCGUUCGCCUGUGACGAAGCGUGAGUGACGGUAAUGGAUAAAGAAGCACCGGCUAACUACGUG